Bison bison bison is the source of this 105-nucleotide small nuclear RNA. The record is from Ensembl. Lineage: Eukaryota; Metazoa; Chordata; Mammalia; Artiodactyla; Bovidae.
GUGCUUGCUUCAACAGCACAUAUACUAAAAGUGGAGCAAUACAGAGAAGAUUAGCAUGGUCCCUGCCAGGAUGACAUGCAAAUUUAUGAAGCAUUCCAUAUAUUU